Molecule: ribosomal RNA, 498 nt
Filed under: uncultured bacterium
Lineage: Bacteria
Description: partial 16S ribosomal RNA
Rfam family: Bacterial small subunit ribosomal RNA
Source: RNAcentral
AUUGAACGCUGGCGGCAUGCCUUACACAUGCAAGUCGAACGGUAACAGGUCUUCGGAUGCUGACGAGUGGCGAACGGGUGAGUAAUACAUCGGAACGUGCCUAGUAGUGGGGGAUAACUACUCGAAAGAGUGGCUAAUACCGCAUGAGAUCUACGGAUGAAAGCAGGGGCUCGCAAGACCUUGUGCUACUAGAGCGGCCGAUGGCAGAUUAGGUUGUUGGUGGGAUAAAAGCUUACCAAGCCGACGAUCUGUAGCUGGUCUGAGAGGACGAUCAGCCACAAUGGGACUGAGACACGGCCCAGACUCCUACGGGAGGCAGCAGUGGGGAAUUUUGGACAAUGGGCGAAAGCCUGAUCCAGCAAUGCCGCGUGCAGGAUGAAGGCCUUCGGGUUGUAAACUGCUUUUGUACGGAACGAAAAGCCCCGGGUUAAUACCCUGGGGUCAUGACGGUACCGUAAGAAUAAGCACCGGCUAACUACGUGCCAGCCGCCGCGGUAA